Molecule: transfer RNA, 69 nt
Filed under: Mesorhizobium sp.
Lineage: Bacteria; Pseudomonadati; Pseudomonadota; Alphaproteobacteria; Hyphomicrobiales; Phyllobacteriaceae
Also listed under: 5 other names
Description: tRNA-Ser
Rfam family: tRNA
About the family: Transfer RNA (tRNA) molecules are approximately 80 nucleotides in length. Their secondary structure includes four short double-helical elements and three loops (D, anti-codon, and T loops). Further hydrogen bonds mediate the characteristic L-shaped molecular structure. tRNAs have two regions of fundamental functional importance: the anti-codon, which is responsible for specific mRNA codon recognition, and the 3' end, to which the tRNAs corresponding amino acid is attached (by aminoacyl-tRNA synthetases). tRNAs cope with the degeneracy of the genetic code in two manners: having more than one tRNA (with a specific anti-codon) for a particular amino acid; and 'wobble' base-pairing, i.e. permitting non-standard base-pairing at the 3rd anti-codon position.
Source: RNAcentral
AUCCCCAUGAGGCGAAAAGUCCGCCCUUUCACGGCGGUAACAGGGGUUCGAUUCCCCUUGGGCGUACCA